This 429-nucleotide ribosomal RNA is filed under the name Fusobacteriota bacterium. RNAcentral describes it as "Fusobacteria bacterium partial 16S ribosomal RNA". It matches the Rfam family "Bacterial small subunit ribosomal RNA", at positions 355 to 776 of the family's 1533-position model. Lineage: Bacteria; Fusobacteriati; Fusobacteriota. The record is from RNAcentral.
UGGGGAAUCUUCCGCAAUGGACGAAAGUCUGACGGAGCAACGCCGCGUGAGUGAAGACGGCCUUCGGGUUGUAAAGCUCUGUUAUUCGGGAAGAACGAUUCGUUUGUGAACAAUGAACGGAAGUGACGGUACCGAAAGAGAAAGCCACGGCUAACUACGUGCCAGCAGCCGCGGUAAUACGUAGGUGGCAAGCGUUGUCCGGAAUUAUUGGGCGUAAAGAGCGCGUAGGCGGUAUGGUAAGUCUGUCUUAGAAGUGCGGGGCUUAACCCCGUGAGGGGACAGAGACUGUCAGACUGGAGUCUCGGAGAGGAAAGCGGAAUUCCUAGUGUAGCGGUGAAAUGCGUAGAGAUUAGGAAGAACACCGGUGGCGAAGGCGGCUUUCUGGACGAGCACUGACGCUGAGGCGCGAAAGCGUGGGGAGCGAACAGG